This 789-nucleotide long non-coding RNA is filed under the name Olea europaea subsp. europaea. Lineage: Eukaryota; Viridiplantae; Streptophyta; Magnoliopsida; Lamiales; Oleaceae. The record is from RNAcentral.
AUUAUUCAGGUCCGUUUUCAUUAUUCUCCAGUUUAUAGCCUCACGCAUAUAAAUCCCUUUCUGACUUAAGUAUCGGAGGGGCGACGAGAACAUACCUCGUUGCCUUUAUUUCAGGUACCGGAAGACUACGAUCGUACUUAAUCAAGAUCAUCAAGCUCGAAAAAUUAACAGGCACGAUUUUUGGUAGCAUCACCAGGGUUUCGUUAAAAAAUGCCCAUCCAAAAAUCAGACUCAAAAGUAGAUGCGCGCUUGAAGAAUCUCCGCAAAAUGGGCGCCAUGGUGGAGCCAUAGCCUCUUUAGACUCCACAGUCCAAUGCGGAUCUAUGGCAAGGCUCAAAACUCUUUCACACCUGAUUGACUCUAGUUCGCUUGACUUAUGUUAUAAGCUACCUGGCAAUGUAAGGAAAUUGCUUAAAGAAUCAGACCCUGUUGUUGAAACCAUGUUAGUAUGUUAGUGUGGUCACUGGAAAAUGCAUUUGUAGUGUUCGAUGCAAUGAGAGACAGGAAUUUGUAUGUGUGGUCUGCGAUAAUUGGGGCAUGCUAGAGGGAGAGGGAGAGAGAGCGGGUGAAGGUGUGUUACUUUUUUAUUGAUGAUGGGGAUUGAUAAUAUUGUUCCGAUUGACUUUUGUUUCCCAAGAUUUUAGAAGCUUGUGGGAACUGUGGUGAUAUGGAGACGGGGAGAUUGAUUCCGGCGAAGUUAUUGGGUGGGAUGAGGCCAUCUUCAACGUUGCACCAAAAUUUGCACCAUUUUGUAUCAAAUUUUAUACCAAACCAAAAUUUUUCUCCAAC